AGAGUUUGAUCCUGGCUCAGGACGAACGCUGGCGGCGUGCCUAAUACAUGCAAGUCGAGCGGACCGACGGGAGCUUGCUCCCUUAGGUCAGCGGCGGACGGGUGAGUAACACGUGGGUAACCUGCCUGUAAGACUGGGAUAACUCCGGGAAACCGGGGCUAAUACCGGAUGCUUGAUUGAACCGCAUGGUUCCAAUCAUAAAAGGUGGCUUUUAGCUACCACUUACAGAUGGACCCGCGGCGCAUUAGCUAGUUGGUGAGGUAACGGCUCACCAAGGCGACGAUGCGUAGCCGACCUGAGAGGGUGAUCGGCCACACUGGGACUGAGACACGGCCCAGACUCCUACGGGAGGCAGCAGUAGGGAAUCUUCCGCAAUGGACGAAAGUCUGACGGAGCAACGCCGCGUGAGUGAUGAAGGUUUUCGGAUCGUAAAACUCUGUUGUUAGGGAAGAACAAGUACCGUUCGAAUAGGGCGGUACCUUGACGGUACCUAACCAGAAAGCCACGGCUAACUACGUGCCAGCAGCCGCGGUAAUACGUAGGUGGCAAGCGUUGUCCGGAAUUAUUGGGCGUAAAGCGCGCGCAGGCGGUUUCUUAAGUCUGAUGUGAAAGCCCCCGGCUCAACCGGGGAGGGUCAUUGGAAACUGGGGAACUUGAGUGCAGAAGAGGAGAGUGGAAUUCCACGUGUAGCGGUGAAAUGCGUAGAGAUGUGGAGGAACACCAGUGGCGAAGGCGACUCUCUGGUCUGUAACUGACGCUGAGGCGCGAAAGCGUGGGGAGCGAACAGGAUUAGAUACCCUGGUAGUCCACGCCGUAAACGAUGAGUGCUAAGUGUUAGAGGGUUUCCGCCCUUUAGUGCUGCAGCAAACGCAUUAAGCACUCCGCCUGGGGAGUACGGUCGCAAGACUGAAACUCAAAGGAAUUGACGGGGGCCCGCACCAACGGUGGAGCAUGUGGUUUAAUUCGAAGCCACGCGAAGAACCUUUCCAGGUUUUGACAUCCUUUGACAACCCUAGAGAUAGGGCUUCCCCUUCGGGGGGCAGAGUGACAGGUGGUGCAUGGUUGUCGUCAGCUCGUGUCGUGAGAUGUUGGGUUAAGUCCCGCAACGAGCGCAACCCUUGAUCUUAGUUGCCAGCAUUCAGUUGGGCACUCUAAGGUGACUGCCGGUGACAAACCGGAGGAAGGUGGGGAUGACGUCAAAUCAUCAUGCCCCUUAUGACCUGGGCUACACACGUGCUACAAUGGGCAGAACAAAGGGCAGCGAAGCCGCGAGGCUAAGCCAAUCCCACAAAUCUGUUCUCAGUUCGGAUCGCAGUCUGCAACUCGACUGCGUGAAGCUGGAAUCGCUAGUAAUCGCGGAUCAGCAUGCCGCGGUGAAUACGUUCCCGGGCCUUGUACACACCGCCCGUCACACCACGAGAGUUUGUAACACCCGAAGUCGGUGAGGUAACCUUUUGGAGCCAGCCGCCGAAGGUGGGACAGAUGAUUGGGGUGAAGUCGUAACAAGGUAACC
This 1513-nucleotide ribosomal RNA is filed under the name Bacillus licheniformis. Its description in RNAcentral is "bacterial SSU rRNA". It matches the Rfam family "Bacterial small subunit ribosomal RNA". The record is from RNAcentral. Lineage: Bacteria; Bacillati; Bacillota; Bacilli; Caryophanales; Bacillaceae.